Molecule: non-coding RNA, 230 nt
Organism: Pelobates cultripes (western spadefoot toad)
Lineage: Eukaryota; Metazoa; Chordata; Amphibia; Anura; Pelobatidae
Source: the annotation of a GenBank genome assembly
AGGGAAUGCUUGACGGUGAUACAGUUUACUACCGUCACAGGGGCUGUAUGUGAGUUACCGGUAACAGAGCACAGGGGAUUACACACAGGGGCUGUGUGAGAGUUACCAGUAACAGAGCACCAGGGAUUACACAUAGCUGUCUGUGAGUGACCGGUAACAGAGCAGAGGGGAUUACACAUAGGGGCUGCCUGUGAGUGACCGGUAACAGAGCACAGGGGAUUACACAUAGG